CCUACGGGUGACAGCAGUGAGGAAUAUUGGUCAAUGGACGGAAGUCUGAACCAGCCAUGCCGCGUGCAGGAAGACGUCUCUAUGAGUUGUAAACUGCUUUUGUACAAGGGUAAACCUGAAUACGUGUAUUCAGCUGCAAGUACUGUACGAAUAAGGAUCCGCUAACUCCGUGCCAGCAGCCGCGGUAAUACGGAGGGGCCAAGCGUUAUCCGGAUUUAGUGGGUUUAAGGGGUGCGUAGGCGGAUUGAUAAGUUAGAGGUGAAAUGUCCGAGCUUAACUCGGGAACUGCCUCUAAAACUGUUGAUCUAGAGAGUAGAUGCGGUAGGCGGAAUGUAUGGUGUAGCGGUGAAAGGCUUAGAGAUCAUACAGAACACCGAUUGCGAAGGCAGCUUACCAAUCUAUAUCUGACGUUGAGGCACGAAAGCGUGGGGAGCAAACAGGAUUAGAUACCCUGGUAGUC
RNAcentral lists this ribosomal RNA (460 nucleotides) under uncultured bacterium. RNAcentral's name for it is "partial 16S ribosomal RNA". It matches the Rfam family "Bacterial small subunit ribosomal RNA", at positions 338 to 795 of the family's 1533-position model. The record is from RNAcentral.